AAUUCUUAAUCUAAAAUAUAUUUUAAAUAGACAAAGGACAUAAUGAGCUAAAGGGAAUUUAUGCAUAUCCCUCCUUGGUUUUUGAUUAAAUGCUCAAAAAGACUUCUGUCGUAAGAUGAUUAAAUGUCUUUCUAGGUUACUGACAAACCAGGUUAGUGGAAAAUGAGCCCUCAACCGUUCUCCCUGUGGCCUUCCCUGCUCCUGCUGGCCUUUUAGAUAUCUCCCACAGUCUCUCUUCGACAGCUGGCUCAAGGCCAAUUUUGAGCCUCUGAAGAAUGUAGACAGACUUUAAGCUAUGCAGUUGUGCAACACCACAGAGGAACACUCAAGCAAUGGCUCCAGCCCAGGAACAGACAGUCACAGCUGUUACCUUCUAUUGCAAGUCUUCUUCAUAAGGAAUGGCUGCUGAGCACAUGCCUGACCUGAGCAGUUACGAGGGCUGUGCAUCUCUGCCUCUUCUUCGACAGAUCUAUUCAGCUACGAGACUCCAGAGAGUUCAGCAACCUCUUAUCUGGUAUGUGUCUCUCUUCAUCCAGCUUGGACCCCCAAGUGGAGCAUGCCUCCAUUGUUUGUGAGUUCUGUCUCAGCUCAGAGUGGAUGGGCGCACAGUUCCAGGGGAGCAAGGAUGUGUGCAACAGAAACUAGUGUUAGCCACACUUGUUCAUCUAGGUGGAUCAUCUCCAGAGACUGAAGAUAUCAGCAGGGCCUAGGAUAUCUGGGCGGCUCCUUCUCCUUCUGCUCCCAGCCCCAAAUCUAACCCUUCAAUAAGGUGAGUCAAUUUUAUCUUCAAAAUAUCUCUUAAACUUUUACCUCUCUUCAAAUCCUACCCAGAUUCUGUCUAUGCUGUUCUUGUCUCCAUAAGAGAUGCCACUUCUUUCUGCACUUGUAGCCAUUUAUUAUCAUCACUUUUAUAAUGAAGACCUAAAUCUUAACAUAGGCACAUCUCAGCAUGCCCUGGACACCACUCACAUUUCAACACCAGCAUUGAUAUGACACUCUCGAUGCCGAAAUUUAGUUACCCUAACUCUAAAUAAAUGUCCAUGCCCAUGUGAAGGUCUUUGUAUGCCCAUGGCUUUUUCAAAAAAUCUCACUAAUAUUUAUCACACAUGUAUCCACUGGCCACUGUGCUCUUGUUUCAAAUACUCUGUGGGCACGAAGGAUGCUUGGGCUGAGUAACACAGAGCCUCCUUCCUUCACCUCCUCGCAGCCCCGCACGUGAGCUUCCUUCUCUGUGCUUCUGUGGGACUUGAGCACAUAAUCACCGUAAGUGGAUGAGAUGUGCGGGAGUAAGUAAAAAUUAAGAGGAACAACAAACAAACAAACAAACCCCCAAGAAAUAAACUCAUCUUCCUUUACGGGAAGUGGAGAGAAAAGGUUGCUAAUAAAUGGUUUCAUCUUAAUGGAAAAAAAUGUAGUACUGUUUCAUGCUUAAUUAUACAGUUGCUAAAGACUUUGGAUUGCUUCUGGUUCCUGCCUGACCAGAAGCCCACGUCAGGGUGCCCAGGAGAUUUUAGUCUCAUCUGCUGGCAAUGACACUAAGGAUUUGAGUUUCCACCUCCCAGGGAGGGAAGGGAGAUGGGAGUGGGCUACAGAACUGAUCAUAAGGAAGAGUCAUUCCAGGGGAGUUGAGCUAGAAAACUCACACAAUUUCUCCUUUUCAGGUUACUGGGAAGAAGGUUAAGCCCAUUUAUUUACUUUCUGUAGAUGACUGGUCCAUUUCCUCACACACUCACAAAUCACUCUGUAAAUUAACACAUCAUGAAUACUUAAACAGUGAAUCUGAUUUUUGGAGACUUGUCAAAAACAUGUUUAAAAAAAAACUGCUAAACUAAAAAUCAAAUUUUGACUUAUGAUAUUUCCAAAGAAAAUCAGCUUCUGAAAUGAACUUGUGAGAAAAUAACCAACCAGCAACCCUCUGUCCUUCCCUGGUUAAUGAAACAGGGGAGGCUGCUGUGGGAAGAGGAAAUCAUCCGGGAACUCCAGACAGGGAAGAAGGCUACAUUCUUACCGAGUGGCUUGCGUUAGCAUUGCUGUGGCCUCGGCACACUGUUACAUUGGGGAGAAGAUGUUAAAGUAGAUCUUCAAUGGUUCUUGCUCUUUUGCUGCAUACCUCACAAUCAUGCAUUGGAAUAGACAGAGGCAGCACUAGGAAAUGUCACCUAUACUUUUCAAUUACAAAGGACAUGAAUUUCAGAGGGAGUUGUUAUCCAUAAAGAUAGUAGUAGAACAUUCUAAAUUACUUUUACCUUAAACUUUAAUCUAGAUUGGGUUCAACAACUCAUCUGGUAAAGAAAGUCAUUUGCCACCAAGUCUGACAAUAUAAGUUUAAGUCUUAAAACCCCAUACACAAAAAACAAACAAACAAAUAAACAAACAAUAUAAAAAAAUACUUAAUCUAUUACAUUUUCUUAGUUCAGACAAUGUACAGCCAAGCAUCAUAUGAUAGCAAUGGCCAGUGGCAACACAAUAUAGGAAAAUUUAAUCAGCUUGCAACAUCUCACACAUCUUAGCUAUACAUACACUCAGAGUGAAAUCUUCUGAUGACACCUGCCUCAGAUCAUGCGUAUUCCCGCCAGGUUGUGUUUUUAGCACAGGCCUUGGCUUUUAGGUUGACUACAGUUUCCUUCAUCUAUAUUUUGGUUUUAUUAAUAGAAGUCUUAUUUUGUUUCUUCCAACAGUAGAGGGUUGCCCUUAUAAUAAUCCUCUAGUAACUUAAAGAAAAUACUUAUUUCCCAGUUAUCCUGUCUUGCCUAAGUCUGUACUAUGUAUGACAGUGAUGCACAUGCUAAGGGGGAUGCAAGUGGGAUAUGGGGUGGCCAUUCUUGUAUGUAAACAAGACAGACAUGCAUGCCUUCAUGAAGGUUUAUUUUCAGGGCAGAGAAGCCUCAACCGGAGGUAUAGGAAGGGAGAGAAGAGGUGUGGGGAUAUACAGUAGGCCAACUCAUUGUAAGGAUCUUUUGUGAUUCUUAGCAUUCAUUUUAGUAUUUGUUCAUUUGUGAAGUGCUUUGGAACCAAAGAGGAAACACAUACACCAGUCUUCAAGCAGGUACUAAUUCAGAGAGAAGACAAAAAUAACUUGAUUGUAUCAUAAAGCUGGGAUGAGAUAAAAAUCAUAUAGGCAAAAUUCAGAGCUGAGGCCCAAGACAUAAGGCCACUGGGAAAAGUUCUGCCUUAGCGCUUCCAGAAAGACACAGGUGACACAAAUCUCACACCAUUUCUGUGGCUCCCCCCAGCACUUUUCAUCCUGAUGCUUCCUACCCUAAACCUCUCCAGCCCAGCAGCUAGUCUCCACUCCCCAUCCCUGUAUAACUCAGCCAUUUUGGCUAUGCACUCCCUUGGUACACACACUGUCUUAGUUAGAGGUUUAUUGUUGUGUAGAGACCCCCAUGACCACAGCAACUUUUAUAAAGGAAAACACUUAAUUGGAGCUAGCUUACAGUUUAAUAAGUUCAGUUCAUUAGCCUCAUGGCCGGAAGCAUGGAACAUUCAGGCAGGCAUGGUGCAGGAAAAUGAACCGAGAGUUCCACAUCUUGUUUUGCAGGUAGCAGAAGGAAACUGACACACGAAGCCUGGCUAGAGCAUAUAUGAGAUCUCAAAGCCCACCUUCACAGUGACACACUUCCUCCACCAAGACUACACCUACUCUAACAAGGCCACACUUUCAAAUACCACCACUCCCAUGUGCCAAGCAUUCUAACACAUAUGUCUGUGGGGAAUAGCCCUAUUCAAACCACCACCCACUCUCUUGACCUCUUGGUUGGUGGCUCCUCUCUUGUUCUGCUUGCCCCUCCUUAUCUUCCUCUCUUACCCAUCUCUCCAUGACCCAGUUCAGUCUGGACUCUGUCAGAUGUCUCUGGCUAUUUCCCCCCCUCAUAUCUAUGAUAAAACCAUCUCCUCAACCAUAUCUAGAAGUGGCCAUGUCCUCAUUUUUCAUUUACAGACAAGUUUCAUUUUGUUCUUGAGAGCAAAGACAGUUCAGUAUGGUUGGAACUGGAGAGAAGUUAAAUGUAGGAAAGACGGAGGAAGGAGAGUAGAUGAGGCUGGAGAAGAGGCAGGGAGGACUCAAAUGCAGUGGCCGAGGCUGGGGAAAGGUGGCUUUCAGGAGUGCAGAGGUGAGGUCAACCUGGAUUAGGUAUAACAUGGGGUUGGAAGUAGAAUGUUUGAGUGAGAAUUCAUGAAGAGCAAGAGCAAUACUUACAAGUUCAAAAUAAGGAGAUUAAAGGACACAGAUAAGUCCUAUUUUGCACCUGUUGGGUUUGAGUUGUCUUUAUUGUAAUAUCCAUCAAGGAUGUGCAACCAUGCAUAAAGAUCUGGACCAGAGAUUUGAAGUUUAGGGAUCAUAAAUUUGUUGGUGUUGCCCUGGGAUAGACUUUUGUUAAGAAGAGAAUUAAGCACAACAAGCAAAAUCCAAAGCUACAUAGGGAUAGUGACAUAAAAAUUAUCUAGAGUUCUUAGACAUAGUUGGGAGGAGCCAAAAGUUAGGUAUAAAGUAAUAUAAUUUAUGAUUUUGAAAAUUACCUGUAGCCUCCCCCAGCCUUGAGCAGGCUGGCUCAGACCUGUUCUGCCACUGUGAAUGAGACCACCUAGGGUGGAGUCUUCAGACCUAGAUAGGUCUAUUGUUCUGCCACCUGCACUCUUCUCCAAGAUGCUGGUACUCCGGAGAGGUUGAAACCUGUCUUCCUGAGAUAAGCAACACCCUGGACCAAGUGCUAACAGGAUGGCGACAAAGCAUCAAGAGCCUGGCGUGGCGGGGGAUGGGCCUUCCCCCUUUAUAAGCUUAGACUCUUAAGUAAACAUUGUGCCUUGAUCAGAAAA
This is a long non-coding RNA of Mus musculus (house mouse), 4815 nucleotides long. RefSeq annotates it as predicted gene, 32639. The transcript has 3 exons. The record is from RefSeq and is a predicted model, not a curated record. Lineage: Eukaryota; Metazoa; Chordata; Mammalia; Rodentia; Muridae.